GGAAGAAGAAAGCGAUAAGGGUUUAGGGUUCUUGAUAGGGUUUUGUCGUGGGUGAAGAUUUUCUGCUGUAGUGGUGGAAGAAAUUGGGUUUCUUCGUCGAGGGUAGAACAUCGGUUCACGAUUUUGCCUCGUUAUAAUUUGGAAGGUUUUGUGCAUUCGUAGUUAAAGAUGUGAGAAUCCGUGGCAGUGGUAAUGGCAAUGAGGAUGCUAUGGACGGGUAUGGGGCUCACUAUGGAGCCAUCAGCUGAAGAAGUUUUAUUAUCUAGAUUUAUCUUUAUGUACAAGAACUUGUGUUUUGUUGACCCAUUUUGAUUAGGUUAGGCAGUGUAGUGCCUCCACUCUUUCGUUAUGAACAUGAUUGGGGUAUUGUGUACCUCCUUAUCCUUU
Vigna unguiculata (cowpea) is the source of this 387-nucleotide long non-coding RNA. Lineage: Eukaryota; Viridiplantae; Streptophyta; Magnoliopsida; Fabales; Fabaceae. The record is from RefSeq and is a predicted model, not a curated record.